RNAcentral lists this ribosomal RNA (460 nucleotides) under uncultured bacterium. RNAcentral describes it as "partial 16S ribosomal RNA". It matches the Rfam family "Bacterial small subunit ribosomal RNA", at positions 338 to 795 of the family's 1533-position model. The record is from RNAcentral.
CCUACGGGGGGCAGCAGUGAGGAAUAUUGGUCAAUGGACGAAAGUCUGAACCAGCCAUGCCGCGUGCAGGACGACGGCCCUAUGAGUUGUAAACUGCUUUUGUACGGGGGUAAAAUGCUUUACGUGUAGGGUUUUGUAAGUACCGUACGAAUAAGGAUCGGCUAACUCCGUGCCAGCAGCCGCGGUAAUACGGAGGAUCCGAGCGUUAUCCGGAUUUAUUGGGUUUAAAGGGUGCGUAGGUGGAUUGAUAAGUUAGUGGUGAAAUACCGAUGCUCAACAUCAGAACUGCCGUUGAUACUGUCGGUCUAGAGAACAGAUGCGGCAGGCGGAAUGUGUGGUGUAGCGGUGAAAUGCAUAGAUAUUACACAGAACACCGAUUGCGAAGGCAGCUUACUAGACUGGAUCUGACACUGAGGCACGAAAGCGUGGGGAUCGAACAGGAUUAGAUACCCCAGUAGUC